GGCGGCGUGCCUAACACAUGCAAGUCGAGCGAGAAAGUUCCUUCGGGAAUGAGUACAGCGGCGGACGGGUGAGUAACACGUAAGAAUCUGCCCUAUAGUGAAGAAUACCUCNGAGAAAUUGAAGUUAAUGCUGCAUGAGUCCCUUUGGGGAGAAAGACGUCUUUUAUGUCGUCGCUAUAGGAUGAGCUUGCGGACUAUCAGCUUGUUGGUGAGGUAAAGGCUCACCAAGGCUAUGACGGUUAACCGGCCUGAGAGGGUGUACGGUCACACAGGCACUGAGAUACGGGCCUGACUCCUACGGGAGGCAGCAGUGGGGAAUAUUGCGCAAUGGGCGAAAGCCUGACGCAGCGACGCCGCGUGGAGGACGAAGGCCUUAGGGUCGUAAACUCCUGUCAGGUGGGAAGAAAAGAUCUGUUUCUAAUAAAUACAGAUUAUGACGGUACCAUCAGAGGAAGCACCGGCUAACUUCGUGCCAGCAGCCGCGGUAAUACNAAGGGUGCGAGCGUUAUUCGGAAUCACUGGGCGUAAA
Molecule: ribosomal RNA, 529 nt
Filed under: uncultured Candidatus Babelota bacterium
Lineage: Bacteria
Description: bacterial SSU rRNA
Rfam family: Bacterial small subunit ribosomal RNA
Source: RNAcentral